CAAAUCCCAGCCAUAUCUCCAGCACACAAGAACUUCUAAACGCCUGAACUGCAGCGGCCAGGCGUUCCUCCAGAACCUCCUCCCCCAGGAGCUUGCUACAAGUGCCAAAAAUCUGGCCAUCGAGCCAAGGAAUGCGUGCCGCCCAGGAUUCCUCCUAAGCCAUGUCCCAUCUGUGCGGGAUCCCACUGGAAAUCGGACUGUUCAACUCACCUGGCAGCCACUCCCAGAGGCCCUGGAACUCUGGCCCAAGGCUCUCUGACUGACUCCUUCCAAGAUCUUCUCGGCUUAGUGGCUGAAGACUGACGCUGCCUGAUUGCCUCGGAAGCCCCCUAGACCAUCACAGAUGCCGAGCUUCAGAAAUCCUUCAUCUAAUCUGGCAAACACAUGUGGCAGGUUUUUCUCACCGCAUAAAAUAUGUUAUAGAGUAGUCCAUCUAUUUCUCUUCCAUGGAAGAGUUCAUCUGGUAGAUUGGACUACCACUUUUCCUUGUCCCGAGUUCU
RNAcentral lists this long non-coding RNA (500 nucleotides) under Homo sapiens (human). Its description in RNAcentral is "PREDICTED lncRNA (TCONS_00194496)". The record is from RNAcentral. Lineage: Eukaryota; Metazoa; Chordata; Mammalia; Primates; Hominidae.